Molecule: unclassified non-coding RNA, 317 nt
Filed under: uncultured fungus
Lineage: Eukaryota; Fungi
Description: partial contains small subunit ribosomal RNA, internal transcribed spacer 1, and 5.8S ribosomal RNA
Rfam family: Eukaryotic small subunit ribosomal RNA (bases 1-73)
Source: RNAcentral
GCAAACUUGGUCAUUUAGAGGAAGUAAAAGUCGUAACAAGGUUUCCGUAGGUGAACCUGCGGAAGGAUCAUUAACGUGCAUCCGACGGGGGUGGCUCCCUCCCUGCUCCGGACCGAAAGGCCGUGCAGCGGGAGGGGCCGCGCCCCGCUCGACCCUUGCAAACCCACAGUGCACCUUUGCCGGCGACGGGCCCGAGAGGGCCCCGUGCCGGACCACAAACUCUAAACUUUUGAAAUGCCAGCGGACAGCGUUCCGCCCAAACUUUAACAACUUUCAACAACGGAUCUCUUGGCUCUCGCAUCGAUGAAGAACGCAGC